AUGAGCAGCAAAGCAAGCAGUCGUCCUGAUGGGAACGCACCACGGGUUGACUCUCGCGAGCGAGUCGUGAGAAGGCACCAAUGCAGCUCGCGUCUUAACCGUCGCUUGCUCCCGCGGUGCGUCUCAGCCCUGGCUCCGAGCGCAGCGCAGAGCGGACCGUUACGGUCCCCACCUCGGAAACCAGAGCCGGCGGCGGUGGCAGCCGGCCACAGCAGCUCCGGCGUCGAUUUAAGUUCGCGCAAGAUUUGGUUUGCGCUGGUCUUUCCAGAAGCCAGAAGGCACAACAUUGUUGUCGUCGUUUCACAGUAUUUCCCCCUUUCACUGUUAACACGUGAGCUCAACCACGCGUUACUGACGGCAGCGAAGCGCAAAGGCACCGUGAGACCCGCAGCGUUUUCGCCAGUACUCACCGACGGCGAGCUGAGUCUGUUCCCCGCCGCCAAAGCAAGCAGCCUUUGACUUAACGUUCAAAAAGAUGCUACUGCUCUUCAGCUGUCUGAAAACUCACCUGAUUUCAUCUACCCUACUGUCACGCACACACUAACCCGAGACGGUGACCGGGGAGCAGGCACACCGCGCUGCAGAGCCUGCCGGGAAAGC
RNAcentral lists this long non-coding RNA (600 nucleotides) under Struthio camelus australis. Its description in RNAcentral is "lncRNA (ENSSCUG00000002553.1)". Lineage: Eukaryota; Metazoa; Chordata; Aves; Struthioniformes; Struthionidae. The record is from RNAcentral.